RNAcentral lists this small nuclear RNA (107 nucleotides) under Sphenodon punctatus (tuatara). The record is from RNAcentral. Lineage: Eukaryota; Metazoa; Chordata; Lepidosauria; Sphenodontia; Sphenodontidae.
GUGCUUGCUUCGGCAGCACAUAUACUAAUAUUGGAAUGAUACAGAGAAGAUUAGCAUGGCCCCUGUGCAAGGAUGACACACAAAUUUGUGAAUCAUUCCAUAUUUUU